This 465-nucleotide ribosomal RNA is filed under the name Vreelandella stevensii. RNAcentral's name for it is "partial 16S ribosomal RNA". It matches the Rfam family "Bacterial small subunit ribosomal RNA", at positions 338 to 795 of the family's 1533-position model. Lineage: Bacteria; Pseudomonadati; Pseudomonadota; Gammaproteobacteria; Oceanospirillales; Halomonadaceae. The record is from RNAcentral.
CCUACGGGCGGCUGCAGUGGGGAAUAUUGGACAAUGGGGGGAACCCUGAUCCAGCCAUGCCGCGUGUGUGAAGAAGGCCCUCAGGUUGUAAAGCACUUUCAGUGAGGAAGAACGCCUGGUGGUUAAUACCCAUCAGGAAAGACAUCACUCACAGAAGAAGCACCGGCUAACUCCGUGCCAGCAGCCGCGGUAAUACGGAGGGUGCGAGCGUUAAUCGGAAUUACUGGGCGUAAAGCGCGCGUAGGUGGCUUGAUAAGCCGGUUGUGAAAGCCCCGGGCUCAACCUGGGAACGGCAUCCGGAACUGUCAAGCUAGAGUGCAGGAGAGGAAGGUAGAAUUCCCGGUGUAGCGGUGAAAUGCGUAGAGAUCGGGAGGAAUACCAGUGGCGAAGGCGGCCUUCUGGACUGACACUGACACUGAGGUGCGAAAGCGUGGGUAGCAAACAGGAUUAGAUACCCCAGUAGUC